UAGUGUAGGGGGCAUGUGAAACGCCGAGUGUGAACGGAUUGGCUGCAGAUAAUGAUGAAAAGGAGUGGAAUUUCCCCCACUUUUUCGUUUAGUUACCACUUAGCAAAAUCAUUCGGGUGUUAAAAUAGUUUGCCAUUGCUAUCUGAGAUAGUUGCUACUGGACGGGGGAAAGAGAGAGACCCAGGAUGAGAGUGGAUAUCAUUCAGUUCUGGAGGAAAGCCGUUCAUCCUGCAGAGUCUCUGAAAGAAGAAGAAAGUCAGUUACUGCCGAUGCUGAUAUACCAGUGAGGAUCAGUAAGGAAACUUUAUUCAGAAGAAUACUGCCACUUCAACAGGACUGCUCCUGUGGUUUCAUACAAUACCACCUGUCAUGUUUGGCACUUCUCCAAUGGGGAAUCCUGACGUGGUCUACAAACAUUAAUGGAUUUAGCCUCCAAACCCCUGGUAUGGUAGAUCCCAGCCUUCCUGCAUGCCAGGGAGUCAGUCCCCACCCUGGAGCUGGGAAUACACACCUGAGGAGAAGUGGGGUAGGGAUACAAUGGAGACCAGGAGGAUAGGCAUUGUCCACCUUGAAGUUCUAUUGAGGGAAAAAAAUGGAGAGUUAACUUCCACUGAGCACUGUGUGCCAGGGAACUCAUCCUUGAAACAAUCCAUUCAUGGAGACAGAGGGAUGGAUCAGAAUCAGGAUGCAGGUACAUGUCCUCUCUGCAGAAGACCCUGUCUUGUUUCAGAUCCCCUAUGGUCUUUGGGAUCUGAGAGUACAGAGCCAAAGGCCAUCUGGGGCUGGGGAAUCCAACCUCAUCCCCUGACAGAAUCGUCCUAGAGAACUCAACACAUGGAUCCUCCAUGAAUAUUCUGUUCUGAGCCCAUCAGUCCAACUCCACCCACUUGUUGGGGAGUCACAGAGACAGAAUGGGAGAAGGACUAAAGACCACCAGUAUCUGCACUUACAGUAAAUUGUUAUUGGUGUAGGACAUGCCUUCUGCCCUUGUCCCAGUUCUGCAGAGGAAGCCAAAAUAAUUCAAAGGUUCCUUUUUCUCUAUGGUAUGUUCUGACACCAAACACAGAGAUCAGUUCAAUCCUGUGUUCCAAAAAAAGGAACGCCAGCCAUGCAGUGUUCUGUCCUUUUGAAAACCAGGGAUACAAUAUAUAUAUAUUUAAAAAAAACCCCUCCUAAUAAUGUGGGUUAUACCAGACCUUUUGUGAGCAGAGAAUCUCUACUGUCCAUUAUCCUUCUAGGUCAGUACAUAUGGAUAUUUAAUCUUUGUUUUGUAUCUCCAAGGUUGUUCUGUUCUAGAUCUAGGCACCAACUCUCUCUGUGUUUUCCUUCAAGAUACAAGACCCUAAAGGCGGAGAUUUGCCUGCACUUUGAGGGAAAAAGUAGACCAUCAUUUGGGAGCUUAGAAGAAUCCUAGUGUCAGGAUGGCCGAGUAGUCUAAGGCGCCACACUCAAGGCUCUAUCUUCCCCUCUCCUGGGUAUUCUGGCCUCUGUAUAGAGGCGUGGGUUCAAAUCCCACUUCUGACACAUCUUUUUGGGGGGAAGGAUAGCUCAGUGGUUUGAGCAUUGGCCUGCUAAACCCAGAGUUGUGAGCUCAAUCCUUGAGGGAGCCAUUUAGGGAUCUGGGGCAAAAAUUGGGGCUUAGUCCUGCUUUGAGCAGGGGGUUGGACUAGAUGACCUACUGAGGUCCCUUCCAACCCUGAUAUUCUAUGAUUAAUCCCAACCCUUGGUCCUGCAUAUUUAGCUCCCAGCCAGCAGUUUCUCCCUCUUUCGUUUCUUUUGGGCUAACUACAAAUAGCGUCAUGUCUCCUUUUCAUGUCAGAAACAUCUAUUGACUGAUGAUCACAUUUCCCCUGCUUGGAACUUUCCUGGCUUCUGCACUACCCCGGUGAAGUGGGCUAGCGAAAGGAUCUGAGUCCUCGCUCCCACUUCCUCUAUCCAGAGGCCUCCCUGUCCUUGAGGACUCCCCUUCCACUCUCCUGUCUGGCAGAGUCCUCAUAACCCCAACAAGGCUGGGCCCAGGAUUCCUGGGGGGCUUGACACCCAACCUUGCUGUGGUCACCUAGUACAGGGGCUAGGGUGUCCCCACUCUGGAGUACUCUCUCUGCACUGGGCACUUCCCUGACCCACUGAUCAUUACAUACAAUUUAAAGCAAAUACAAGUCAUUUAAAUCAACAACUAAUUUUAAAAAGAAUAAGGAAAAAUGGGAAAGGUUAAAGGAAACACAUCAACCCGCUCUGUGGCAGGGAACAUCACAAACAGUGUCUCUGGAACUUCAAGGCAGUUCACAGUCUGUUCCUUGUAAGUUCCAGGCCUCCUUCUCAGGCUCUGACUGUGCUGCAGGGAUGCUGUGGGUUGGACACUUGCUCUGGUGGUGGCCACACACUCUCAGGCUCUAGGUGGCAGGGCCCUUCUUCCCAGCGUUGCCCCCGCCCUGUCAGGGUUACCAACCCCGCUCUGAGUCUGGCCUGCAGAGCCUCCUGGCUCAGAUAUCAAUCAAACUGUGCUGGACCUGCUGCCCAGGUUCCCCCCUCACUCUCCCCAGCUGCUCACCACACCCAGCUCCGGACUGCUCCAGCCCCAGCUCCAGCUCCACUCUGUCUCAGCUUCAGCCCCACUCUGCCUCAGCACGGCUGUGCUCUGCAUUCAGCUCACUGGGCUGCUUCUCUGGCCUCUCUGGCUCUGGUUACUACAGCUCUCCUCCCAGGACAGGUCUGCUCUGCAGGCUGCUUCUGUGACUCUGCUCCCAGCAUUAACCUGCUUCCUGGGCUGCUUUUCUGCCCCCUCUGGCUCUGGUUGCUGCAGCUCUGCUCCCAGGGCAAGUCUGCUCUGCCUGGGCUGUGCCUCUGGCUUUGGUGCUGCAGCUCUGCUCCCAGGACAGGGUCUGUUCUCUCUGGGCUGCUUUUCUGGUCUCUCUGGAUCUGGCACAGCUCUGCUCCCCAGCUCAGCUUGGGCCACUGCUUUCUCCUUAGCUCAGCCCCACUCUGUCUGACCCAUGCAAUUCCAGCUCACCCAGAGGAGGACGGGACUUCCCUGGCCUCCUGAUUCCCUGAUUAGCCUGCCCGCCCUGUCAUUCAGGUUGACCUGAAGCAUUGGUCUCUCCCCAUUGUUCCUGGGGACUGUCAGUCUCAGGGUCCUGAUUUCCCAUUGACCCUUCCCCCUUUAGUACUGGGAGCUAGCAAGUAAAACACCCCCACUGAAUGUUAGUAAGGGGGCUACAGUCCCCUUACAGUUUUUUUUGAGCUAACUACAAAUAGCCACAUGUCCCCUUUUCAUGUCAGAAACAUCUAUUGACUGAUGAUCACAUUUCCCUUGCUUUCCUGUCUAGGCAGAGUCAGGGUGUUAGGAAUCAGAAAAUAAUCACUGGAAAUUUCUAAGCCAGCCUUUUAACAUACAACAUCACUUUCCCCUGUUAAAAUAACUCUUAUUUUUUUCUAUAACACUCAUUCAAAUGAUGUUAACACAAGCUCUGAGCUACUAAUUUCCUUACUGUUCCCUUCAUAUUUUUAGCAGAAUACAUUGACAUAAAAGAGAAA
Caretta caretta (loggerhead turtle) is the source of this 3534-nucleotide non-coding RNA. The record is from RefSeq and is a predicted model, not a curated record. NCBI's taxonomy places the organism in Eukaryota, Metazoa, Chordata, Testudines, Cheloniidae.